AUAACUGAACGAUUACUGUGAACAUGUUUUGUCACAACUCAAGUCUGGUGUUUGCAAGAUACUGGCAGAUGUUGCCCCUUUUCCUUCCACUUAAGGAGGGGACAGAAGAGGCAGCAAGACACAAUGGAGGAAGGGGAGAUAUUGAAUGGAGCCCAAGCAAGUGAAUGCAGGAGACACUGCAGAGAGGGUGGUGUAAUAAGGAUUAUGUAUUGCAAUGAACUGCUGCUGCUAAGUUAACAAAUUUCACAUCACAUGCCGGUGGUGAUAAACCUGAUUCUGAUUCUGAAAGCAGUGCACAACUGCAAAGUCCAGCAGUUCGGUUUGCACAGUCCUGGUGGGUCAGAAAUGAGAAGAUGGAACUUUUUGGAAAUAGUAGAAAUAAGCGGUUCUAAGAAUGAUCUCAAAGAAAAUAAUUUUUUUUAAAUAAUCACAGACUAUUUGAUCCUACACUAUGAUAUUCAAGAGAAUACUUAAGACAAUAAAUAACAACUGUACUCAAGAAUAAGAACGUUCCUACAGAAGAGCCAAUGUGCAAAUGUUUCUAAUAAGGGUCAAGAUGAGACAACUUCAUUAAAUCCAGAAAUGGGUGAUAUUCUAGCAGUACUGGUUGGAUCUGUUAGUUCAAAGUAAAUAGCAUCAUUAUUACUGCUAAGAUCACAAAAAAUGUGAAAAACUGCAACAUGGCCAAGCUUAUAGAUACAUUAGAUCAGUAUGUGUGUUUCUUAAAAAGUAGAGCAGUGUCAUAAUUUGACAAAUGUCAUGUGCUAUUGUGUGGAGAGGCAGUGCUAAUAAGUCCUUUUAAUUCAAUAGGCAUUUAGUUUGAUCUUGUCUUUCACAUUUAAACAGUCUGUCCACAAGCAAUGGACUUCAUUUAAAGAUGCUCAUUGAUUACAUGUACCUGGGGAUAGACAAUAAACACCCUGCAAGCAAUGCUUGCAUCUUUGAAUUGGUUAUAAAAAGUCUGAGUGGUCUUUGCAGGUUAUGAGAGCAUGUGGGAGUUCUGCUUUCUAUGCAAGCUCUGUUCCACUGGUGAGAGCACACUGGAUGCUGGCAGCAGGUGUCUUAAAAGCAGUAUCACUUCAUUUCGCGAAACUUUCAAUAAGUCAAUUUCAUUAAGCUGGGCUCAAAAAUAUUUUAAAUGCCACUUUUGGAAGCAAUUAACUUUUAAAGAAGCAUAAUUACCAAGGAUUAUUAAAUGCUAUUUAAACUCUCAACAUAUUUUAUCCAUAGUGCAAUAUAGUUCACA
Long non-coding RNA from Hypanus sabinus (Atlantic stingray), 1246 nucleotides. RefSeq lists it as uncharacterized. The record is from RefSeq and is a predicted model, not a curated record. The transcript is spliced from 3 exons. NCBI's taxonomy places the organism in Eukaryota, Metazoa, Chordata, Chondrichthyes, Myliobatiformes, Dasyatidae.